UCAGCAUGCCUGAGGGUGGGAUGCAAGUCCUUAGAGUGGUUGACUGCUGAGGCCUUAUUUUUGAGACAGGGUCUCUCACUUGCUGAUGCAGCAAGGCUG
Molecule: microRNA precursor, 99 nt
Filed under: Mus pahari (shrew mouse)
Lineage: Eukaryota; Metazoa; Chordata; Mammalia; Rodentia; Muridae
Description: microRNA 6386 (MGP_PahariEiJ_G0006688.1)
Source: RNAcentral